AUAUUGUCUGUGGUGUGGUAUGUACGUAGGAAGAGGUGUGUUGUGGUGAUUUUAGGUCAAUAAUUUAUUGAAAUGGGUCUUUGUUUCUGUUAAUAAAUAUUAGAAUUAGAAACCUAUAAAUUUAUUUGUUAAUUUGUGAUUAAUAUGGAUCUAUUGUGUAUUGAAAACUAUUACGUUUGGCUGGUGUAAUGACAUUAAAGAAAAUCGGGAAAAUGUCAACAAAAUCCCAAAUAUCCACAGAAUUAAGUGAUAGCAUUAGUAAUGUUUUGGGUAAAAAUGUUAAGAUUCUUUUCAAAUCCCUUAUUCGUAUGGAAUCAAGAGGUGAUAAAGUUGACAACAGGGUUUUGGUUGUGACAUCCUAUAGAAUCUUUAUCACUACAACAAAAGUUCCAACUAGGGUCGACAAUGGAUUUCACUUGAUGGAAAUUGAAGCGCUGGAAAGCAAAAAGGCUAAUCACCUGUCAAUAACGCUCAUUCACGAGCAUAAACCGGUCUCCAUUCUUAUUGGCGAGGAGGGUACAUCAGAGGGAGUCCUAAAUGUGAUCCACGCGUUGAUCGCGGCGUACGAUGACUUGUUCCCCAACGUAGCCAUGGAAGACAUCAUUUCCAAGGUGAAUCUACCAUUUCCCCUGCAACAUGUAAGUGGUACGAGGAAACAUUCAACUUGCGGUGACUUUUCUAAUCAGUAUGCAGCCAUGUGCGACCUUUGUCAAACGCCCUUCAGGGCGGAGGUUGCGUGGGACAUCGACACAAUUUAUUUAGCGCAUGACAUCAGAAUGCUACAUUUGAAGGAUUUCGACCAUUUAGAUCAGAGGGACCUGAUCCCCCUGCUAAUCGCGCUGCAGCACAACACGUGGUUCACGGGCGUGUGCGGGGACGGCGUCCGCGCGGGCGGCGAGGCGUGGGAGGCGCUGUGCCGCGUGGUGCGCUGCGCCGCGCCGCCGCCGCAGAAGCUGGCGUGGCGCGCCGCUGCUCUGCGCCACGACCACGCCGCACGGCUGGGGCACGCCCUUCUGAGGGCGCGCACGCCGCCUUCUAUGCAUACCAUCGACUUCUCUCAGAAUCAUAUUGAGGACAAAGGUGCUAUUAGUAUUCUGAGUGGGUUGGCGAACAACCUAGACGGGUUGCGGUCGAUCUCUCUGUCGCAAUGCGGGUUGACGGGCAAGACCGUGUCGCACCUCGCCGCGAUGCUUAACGACAACCAGUGCCAUCUCUCCACGCUCUCGCAUUUAGAUCUUUCACACAAUAACCUCAAGGAUGACGUACAUAAUUUGUAUAAUUUCCUUGCCCAACCCAACGUGUUGACGCAUUUAAAUUUAACCAAUACAGAGACUACGUUAGAAAAUAUGUGGGGAGCGUUGCUCCGCGGGUGUGCAGCGAGACUGUCAGACUUGCUCGUGGGGCGGAACCCCUGGUCUUCCGCGCGAAGACCCAAGGAUCCGCCGCCAUCCUUCAGACAGUUCUUCACGGCUUGUCUUGCGCUUACCAACCUGGAUUUCUCGUACUGCAAAAUGCCGCCCGAUGCUCUCAAGAGCCUUCUUCUCGGGUUAGCGUGCAACGAGAGCGCAACAGGCGUGCAGCUCAACUUAGCCGGCGUGCUGUCGUCGGCGCAGGCCGCGCACGUGCUCGAGUCCUGCAUCCACGGAGUACGCUGCUUGCAGUCGCUCGACCUCUCCGAUAAUAGUAUGGAAUUCGAACUAUCCGGCAUAGUACGAGCAAUAGGGAAAAAUCACUCCAUCACGCAUUUAUCGUUAAGCCGACUGAGUGGUAAAAGGUCUUAUGCGCCGCCUCUUAUACAGGCAUUGGUUCACGUUCUUCAAGAGCCGGACACGACUUUGACUUCAUUAGAUCUCAGCGAUUGUAAACUUAAGGGUGACUUGUACGGGCUGCUAAACGCGCUGGGCGGCGCGCGGCGCCUGCGCACGCUGGACGUGGGCGGCAACCUGGCGGGCGACGCGGCCGCGCGUCUGCUCGCCAAGGCUCUGCAGUGCAACUGCACGCUGCACACGCUCUACAUCGACCGCAACGCGUUUAGCUUACAGGGUCUGACGGACAUAGCGACGGCGCUCCGCCGGUCUGUAAGCGUGCGGCGCGUGGAGUUCCCGGGCUGCGACGCGGCAGCCGGCGGCCGGGGCGCUAGUGAGCGAGUCGCUACACUGUGGAGAGAGCUGCAUGAGCGGCUAGCAAGCAACAGCGCGCCGGCGCAGUGCCACCGGCUGCGGGCGCUGGCGCUGGAGCGCGCCUGGGCGGGGGGCGAGGCGGCGGCGGCGCUGGCGGCGCAGGCGGCCGCCGCGCUGCCGCCGCCGCCGCUGCCCGCUGCGCUGGAACGCGCCGCCAGCCAGGCGCACCACAUGCUGCACCAGUACCUGCAGCGGUGCAGUGAAGUGUUCGCGGCGAUGGGGGGAACUACCUCGGCGAGUGAACUGGUGACGCUGCAGGCGGUGCGCGACGCCAUGGCUCCCUGCGCCAACACGCUUCAAGACUUGCUCAAUGAGGCGGUAGAAAGCCUGGCCUUGACGGCGUGCGAGAGUGUGGACAACGCAGAUAGUGAACCUAUAACCAGCAAUGACACCGAUAUUCCGGACUUGCUCACACCGAUAUCGCAUUCUGGGGCGACUCCGCUGGGGUGUCGGCGGCGCGAGCGCGGCUGUCGUCGUGUGCGGCCCAAGUCAGUGGCGGAGCAACAAUGCAGCAGCAACGAGAUGUUGUCCCUGCCGCCGCUACACGCCGAGGCCGCUGACGGGCUGGCAGACCUGCCCGCGCAUACGCUGCGACACCUUGUUAAAGGUCGACCAAGACGGGCUAAAACCAGGGCGCCGACCCGACCAAUAACAGAUCAAUCUCAAGAUAUCGACGAAGGUCUGGAGGAGUUCUGGCGCACGUGCCGCACGCCGCCCGGCAGCGAGGAGGCGUCGCUGUCGGCGCGCACGCCGCUGACGUCACGCUCGCUGCACUCGCUGUCCUCGCUAGCCUCGCCCGCCUCGCCCGCCGACCACCGGCACUCGCCCACGCUGCAGCGCGACGACACCAUGUACAGCGUGACAUCUGGCGAAAGUACACCUGUUUUAUUAGAAUGCGAAGUUACAGGGUCAUCAGAGGUGUCCCGUUGCAAGUCUUCCGACAACGUAGGCACCAAGUUGCCGACCACGCCGCCGCCGUCGCGGUCUUCUGAUAACGUCAACACUAUGGAAGGCGUGGAGGCGUGCGUCGGAGGCAGCAUCGUCGGCAUCACGCCGGGGGCAGCACUAACCAGUAACCUUUCAGACGCUAUUCUAUACUGAAUGUAGUGUCAAUGUGCCCCUGCCCUUUGUAGGCUCAAUGUUACGAGAUCAUCCUUUAUCUCCAGAGGGCACUGAAGCCUAAGCCAAGCACAGGUGCAGUCCGUCGGUAUCACGUGAUAACUUUGAGCAGGGUUCCAUGUCCAGUACGAUAACAAGCGGAUUUUAUCCUCGGAUGCUCACAAUUGUGCCAGUUAGGAAUUUAACGUCUUAGACAGUAGUCAUUGAUUAGUCAUUCUAAUCUUAUAGCGUACGAAGCAAUCGCCAUUUUAGUUACUUUACGGAAUGGUAAAGCUUUCGCUGUAGGUUGGGUAAUUAGUGGAAGGGAAAUGGAAUAACAGUUCAAAUUAUGCAUUUUGUGAGACUUUCCUGAUAUAGAUAGAACAAUUGAUGCAGAUAAGUGAGAGAGAAAUAGUUCAAAAUGUAGAAAACAUUAUUUAUAAUAAUAAUAAUGAAAUUAAAGAUUGCAUUUAAAGUUCCUAUUUCCUAUAACGUCGACAUUACACGAACCCUCUCUACUAAGUUGCCAACCUACAAAGAAGAAACGACAAUUGCACGAUCAUAAUAAUUCCAAGUAAUUUAAAAUAGGGUUAUUUAUUAAGGACAUCUAUGAAAUCUAAUAAUCGUUUUAUUUACUGUGAUUCAGUUAGUAUUAUAUAAUUUAGUUUAUAAAGUCAUUCAUUACUAAUAUAUUUUAACCAUGCAUAUUUUGUCAUUUUAAUUUUAUUAUCGUUUUUAGGGCUCAGUCUUCAAAUAAUUAGACAUGGAAAUGUACUAAGCAUAACAAAUAUGCUUUACAGUAAUUCAGUAGUUGAUCUUUACACUUCUUAAAAAGUCCGAAAAUAUCGAAAAUUAUGCCUAAUAAAUAAUAGGCCUGUAAGUUUUCGACGGGACGUAGAUUAUUGAUUAUGCCCUAAUAAUUACGAAUUUGUAGAAACACAAGCUGGGAAUUGGUCUUGCCUAGUCAUGUUAUAAAGGCCUAUACGCAUUCACGCACAAAUUUUAUUUAAUUCUUAUAAUGUACCUAUUGUUUAUUUAUAAUAUGUAUUCCAUGAUGAAAUAAAUUUCCAAAACACAUAUAUAUCUUCCAAUUUAUACAUUCCUUUAUGAUUGUAAAGUAGAAAUCAAAUAUUUUGAGAAUUAUGAACAAGUGUGAUUUUAAAAUGAAGUUCAAACGUGACGUGAAUUUUAGAUUAGUAAUUUCAGUGAUGUAAGGUUCAAUUUUAUGAUAAUUCAGUAAAUGUAGAAACUCGCCCCAUAAGUUAAGUGUUCAUUAGACUAAAUAUUUGUAAAAUCAAUUACGGUACGUUCAUUUUAUCUUCUGAAUACCAAGGCUGUCUUUUAUUGGAGUUUCUUGUAAAAUUUUACUGAUCUAAAAGUAGUUGUAUAGUAUAUCGCUAAAUUAUUUCAUAGUAUUUUUAUAUUCAUUCCAAUUUAGUUGGUUUUAUCUAGCUCUUUGGUACCAGACUGAUUUUACGGUACUUUUAUUUUAUGGUGCAAUUUAUGUCUAGAGCGUUGUGAUAAUCUGUUUAAAAUUACAUAACAAUAUACAGCGAUA
RNAcentral lists this unclassified non-coding RNA (4836 nucleotides) under Pectinophora gossypiella (pink bollworm). RNAcentral describes it as "f-actin-uncapping protein LRRC16A". The record is from RNAcentral. Lineage: Eukaryota; Metazoa; Arthropoda; Insecta; Lepidoptera; Gelechiidae.